ACACGCUCACACAAAACCAGCACAUGGGGAGCCUGGAAAGCGUUAGAAAACCAGCGUGACCCAUCAAACAUUCACCUCCCACAAAAAGGGCCGGCAGUGGGAGUGGGGGAGGGGUCCCUAAUGCUUUCCAGUUGUGUAGAAGUUAUAACAAAAUUUGCGAGAAACAGACAGAGGGAGAAAGAAAGAAGAGAGUGAGGGACUGGGGAGAGAAAGGAGCAGUUGCUUUGGGAACAAAGUUACUCCGAUUUGGCUGUAAGAGGCACAUCCCGCCAUUUGGCAUUCUUGUUCAGAAGCUGGCCUGCUGGCCUGACUGCAUUCGGUGUCGCUAGCUGUUUUGUGAGUACCAAGGUGGCAGACAACGCUUCUCUGCUGAACUCCUCUCCCACAGGACACUGAGCACUGAAGAGGCACAAAAAACUUUUCCUUUUAAUAGCAAACUGAUGCAGAAAUGGCAAGGUUUGACAGCAAGCAAAAGCACUCCUGUCUGUACUGAAGAGCUGAAUCGAUGGAGGAGGAUGCAGACCACUAACAUCUAACAGGCCUCUCAGCUCUUCUUUUGAUUUAUAGAAGCCUCGUUCUGUGCAGGGCUUUAAAUUGCAAUUAUGCGCGUGCCCCCAAGCAUUAAGAUUCCUGCAUUGCAGGGGGUUGGACUAGAUGACCCUUGGGGUCCCUUCCAACUCUACAAUUCUUUGAUUCUAUACCCCCACCCACCCCUAAAGAUUUAAGGUAGCUAGAAAGAGGUGGAUACAGGAGUUGGGAGAAUCCAUCAUUUUGUCUGGGGAUUUAGGAAACCUUCAGAUUAUCUAUUUAUCACAUUAUUAACUGCACCUUAGCCACCUCUUAUAAUUACAAUGCCAUUACCGCCAACGCAUUAAACAUUUCCAUUCACAAAAAAAACCUGGCAACUGCCCUUCACUGGCAUAUAUUUCUGCUCCACGUGCUCACCCACUUUCCACAAGAAGCCCUGCCAAAUUGCACGACAAAGUGAUGUCAUGACCUUCGGCUAUAAGUAUUGUAGGGUUGGCAGAGUAGCUCUCCUCUUGCUUUGCUCCCGGUCUAAAUGCUCAUUUGCUACUGGUGGGAUGAUAUUAAUAGGGCUCUGCUUCUGCAAUGUGGAAUUAACAGCAAUUUGGAUAAGGGAUUAUUGCACAAAACAGUUGCAGAAGCAGAAACACACAUUGCAGAUAUUUUACUUGAUAUAAAGUUCAUGUAACACAAAGGCGGGGAACUGGGAGAGGCCAUCGCGGCCUGCGCUUCAAAUGUAGCUCUCAGAAGACUUCCAUCUAGCCUCUCCUCCUUGGCUUUUGUGCAUCCAAUUUUAUCUGCUGGGACCCCAUUCUACCUUGGGACCACAACAGGGGUUGGGGGAGGGUUAAAGCAGUGUUAAAAAUUGAGAUAGGAAAGCUAGGAGCUAA
Long non-coding RNA from Podarcis raffonei (Aeolian wall lizard), 1415 nucleotides. RefSeq lists it as uncharacterized. Lineage: Eukaryota; Metazoa; Chordata; Lepidosauria; Squamata; Lacertidae. The record is from RefSeq and is a predicted model, not a curated record. The transcript is spliced from 4 exons.